RNAcentral lists this transfer RNA (77 nucleotides) under Candidatus Magasanikbacteria bacterium RIFOXYD1_FULL_40_23. Its description in RNAcentral is "tRNA-Val". It matches the Rfam family "tRNA". From Rfam's summary of the family: Transfer RNA (tRNA) molecules are approximately 80 nucleotides in length. Their secondary structure includes four short double-helical elements and three loops (D, anti-codon, and T loops). Lineage: Bacteria; Candidatus Magasanikiibacteriota. RNAcentral also lists the same sequence under 1 other name. The record is from RNAcentral.
GGGCGUUUAGCUCAGUUGGUUAGAGCGCCUCGUUUACACCGAGGAGGUCUAGGGUUCGAAUCCCUAAGCGCCUACAA